RNAcentral lists this non-coding RNA (21 nucleotides) under Caenorhabditis elegans. Lineage: Eukaryota; Metazoa; Nematoda; Chromadorea; Rhabditida; Rhabditidae. The record is from RNAcentral.
UAGAAAAGGAUCAUGACGAAU